ACGUACGCUGGCGGCACGCCUAACACAUGCAAGUCGAACGAAGUAGCAAUACUUAGUGGCAGACGGGUGAGUAACAUGUGGGUAUCUACCCUUUGGCCUGGAAUAACACGAGGAAACUUGUGCUAAUACCGGAUAAGCCUUCACAGGGAAAGUUUUAAUGCCAAAAGAUGAGCCCGCACUUGAUUAGCUAGUUGGUAAGGUAAUGGCUUACCAAGGCAACGAUCAAUAGCUGUUCUUAGAGGAAGACCAGCCACAUUGGGACUGAGACACGGCCCAAACUCCUACGGGAGGCAGCAGUGGGGAAUCUUGC
Molecule: ribosomal RNA, 310 nt
Filed under: uncultured Pelagibacterales bacterium
Lineage: Bacteria; Pseudomonadati; Pseudomonadota; Alphaproteobacteria; Candidatus Pelagibacterales
Description: SSU rRNA
Rfam family: Bacterial small subunit ribosomal RNA
Source: RNAcentral